This 119-nucleotide ribosomal RNA is filed under the name Pteropus alecto (black flying fox). Lineage: Eukaryota; Metazoa; Chordata; Mammalia; Chiroptera; Pteropodidae. The record is from RNAcentral.
GUCUAUGGCCAUGCCGCCCUGAACAUGCCUGAUCCCGUCUGAUCUGGAAAGCUAAGCAGGGUCAGGCCUAAUUAGUACUUGGAUGGGAGACCACCUAGGAAUACCGGGUGCUGUAGGCG